CAGAUACAUGUGCGCAUGCACGUGUACACACAUGCAUGCAUACACACAUGCAUUUGUAGAUAUAUGUGUAGGUGUGUACACACAACAUACACAUAUGCAUCCACACAUACACAUAUACAUAUGAGGUGGCACGUUCAGCUUUCAAGAGGACCAUCAGGGACUUUGUCACCUUGACAACUUUAGCCUUGCCUUCUAGUCACCUUGCCGGAACACUUGUGCCCGUGUUUUUCUAGCACUGUCAUAAGAAUACUUUUACCUAUCAAGGCAACUGGGGGUUAGGAGAGCUUUUUGCACAGGAGGCUACUUGGCUUUGUUUGAAAACUGAUGAUACAUGAGGAUUGGGGUGGUGAAUCACUCACAUGUUUCUUCAUAUGAAAAAUGAGGACUGUGGGAUUCUCUGGCUGGAUCUCAGCACCUAGAAAUGGAUCUGGGCAAUAGGAACUGCUCAGUAUUAGCUACCGCUUUGGUUGCCUUCUCCUUGCGGAAAGCUGGCCUCUCACACUGAAUUUGUAUCAUAGGCACUCAUGAGGGUCUUGACUGUAUCAAUAUCUGAUGAGAGAUUUUAGUGCAGUUCUGUUAUCGUGGCUGAUUUGCUCAUUUGGUAGCUAGCAUCCAGCUUCUUGUGAACAUUAAAAUAAAAUAAAAUAGAUUAUGGAGGAAUAGAAUACAGAUACGUAGUAAGGUAUUAUUUUCCAGACAAAAUGGAUUUGGAUAAAAGAAUCUAAUUAAGAACUUGUGCAUGAUUCUUUUAAAAUUCUUUUGAAUCCAUUUUUUUUUUUUUGGCCUGUUUUCAAGUCUCCGAUUUUUGUCACCCUUCUCACACCAGGUCAGAGAGAUAGCUAAUGGUCAGAAGGAAUCUUCCAGCAAUGACCAUAGCGCUUUCUCCUGCCUGCAGAUGCCUCUUUUUAUUCAGCCUUUAUGGGAAGUAGCAGCACCAUCCAGUUCUCAGAGAGCAAGCUCUGGAGUAACUGAGCUAACCCCAGUUACCCCAGUGGAUUUACAGAUUGAGGUUACAACCCAGCAGGGUUCUCUUCCUGGAAAGAAUAGCCUUCCCUCUAAGGUUUCAAAUAGACCCUGGGUGAGGAAGGAGCCCUAAACAGCUUGAAAAAUUGAAUGCUCUUUGGGCAAAGCAGGAAGCCGUCCUAUGGAAGAGCAUCAUUUGAGCAUAAAUCAGGUUAUCAGGACAAACAGAGUGUUCAGGAGGUCAAGAUGGUUAAGCAGAGACCCUGACCAGAAUGUCCGUGGCGGAGAGAAACAAUCUUGUUGGGAAAAGGAUGACAAUAAUUGGGGACUUAGAAUAAAGGCUAAAAAUGAUUCAAAGAGAAUGCAAAAAGAAUCAGGCACAAAUCGUUUACUAUACUCUGUUAUGCAAAUCUCACCUUACUAUGUGUUUGUAUUCUAUUCCUCCACAAUCUUUAUUUUAUUUUAAUGUUCAAAGAGACUUGUAGGUGCCAAUUAAAUGAACAAAACAGCCAGAGACAACAGAACUGCCCUAAAAAAAGUCCCGCAUCAGCUCUUGAGAGCAGGUUCCUUAAAGGUGAACAAUAUUCCACAUACAAGGACUUUUUCAGCACCAUGCAUUAGAAAUGGAAGUGAAUGUUUAUUAUUUUUUGUAUAAGUUGGUUGAUAUGGCUUUUCAGCUUCCCUCAGUAUCAUUAUCCAAAUUUUGUAGAUGACACUAAAGCUCAGAGGAGUUAAACCAUUUUCCUUAAAUCACAUAGCUUUAAAUAGGAAAACCAGAUAUGAAAAGCAGAUUUUUUUUCUAAAUUAAAAAACCAAAAACAAAAACACGUGAGCUCUUGCUUUACCCUAGCACAUAGUCUUGCCAUCUGUUUUCUCCACACCAGGUGAUUCCUGUAACAUUCAUUCACAUAACAAAUACAAAUAAAUGAGUGGAUUCAUUCAUCAGAUAUUAAUUCAGAAUCCCUUUUGUGCCUUCCAGAAAUCUGGACCAUCUCACAACCCCCAGAGAGUCUCAGCUACAAGGAACAAGUGAUAAUGCCAUCCCACUUUUAUAAACACACACACACACACAUGCAAUACACACACAAUCAUUUAAUCAUUUUUAAUUAUUUAAUUAUUUUUUAAAAAUCAGUGACACUUUAGCUGGGCAGGUCUAGAUAGGUCUUCUUUGCUGGGACGUGUCUUUUUCUGUCCUGGAAUACCCUAAACUUCACAUUUUGGCAGCGUGAGUUUUCCCUUUGUGACUUUCUCCUUCUUCCCUUUUUUCCUCCUUCUUUGCAGAGAAUGAGUAGCCACUGCACCUUGCCCUGCGCCAUCAAUGAGAAGAUCUGCUCUUAGUAGAGCCCUGCUUUCCCGCUGAAGGCCCUGAAAUCACCUGUGUUCCAGGCCACCCACUAAGGAUAAACAAAGCUUCCCUGAUAUGGGGAAUUAGCUCAAGUGGUAGAGCGCUUGCUUAGCAUGCAAGAGGUAGUGGGAUCAAUGCCCACAUUCUCCAAGCUUUAUUAUUUAGGUACCCAAACCCGAGUCAGUGUCUGAGAGCAAGACACUGCUCUCGGUGUCUUUGGUUCAAGACAUAGGAGCAGCAACAAUACAGGACUGGUGACAGCUUCCUGCUGGCAUUCAGUAUAGUGUAGAUCUACUGUGUAAUUAAUUUUCUGUUUCUUCGAGGAGCUGUGAAACCAAAGGACAUAUAAAACUGCUCUUUUCUCCCUGUUUCUGCCUGCAGCUUGGUCCUAAAUGUGAGACAAUUGUGAAAAGUGGAGGACAGAGCCACCUGGUUAAAUACAGCCCCAGCUUUCUGGUGAGAGGACUGAAACCAAGAUGUGUCAAGUAACUAGAAUGUGCCUGGACAGAUACUGUAGAAAGCAAAACCAUAAAGUUGUUCAUGAGCUUGUGGACGCACCUGCCAGCUGUGAAUAAGUGGCUCUAAUCCCGAACAACUUACCUAAAAAGAGCCUGAGAGCUGAACUGUGCAAUGGCCCACUUUCCAGUCCUCACUGACCACUGGGUUGCACACACUUUGGAGAUCUCUGAACAGCAGUGUCAAGGCUUUCAAAUAGAGUUAUCUUUGAAACGACAACACAUGAAAGUCUGGUUGGUACUUGGAGCUUAAAUACAAGGCAAUUGUGUGCCUGCAAAAACAAAAAUAGCAAUAUUAUCCUUAAGAUUUCAACAAGACACAGUGUCUCAUCACAUAAUCCAAAGAAGUCCAGGUUACAAGCCCCACAAUAUUCAGCAUUAUGAAAAAACAGGGAGAUCUUAAUUCACAUGGCAAAGAGAAUCCUCGAAUAACAAUAUUGAGAGGACACAGAUGUCAAAAUCAUCUGACACAUACAUUAAAGCAGAUAUUAUAACAAUGCUCCUAGAAUCGGGGAUAACAUUCGUGAAGUGAAUGGAAAGUUGGAAAGUCUCACCAAAUAUUUCGAAUACAUAAACACCAAUUUAAACUUAAGAAUUAAAAAAAUGUAUUAACCAAAACUCUUAGGGGAAAUAAAAAGCUUAAUUGGAGGAUCUCCAUAAUCGAAUGCAGAAGACUAAGGAAAAAGUCAAUGAACUUGAAAACAGAACACGAAUACCUACAUAAUCUGAACUAUAGAGAGAAAGGAGGAUUUUAUUGUCUCUGAACAGAGGCUCAGGCACAAAUAAAAAAUAACAAAUCCAACAUUCACAUUAUUGUAAUCUGGAAAGAAGAGGACAAAGUGGUCUUUGUGGGAUAAAACUUUGAACAAUUAAUAGCUGAAAAUGGUUCAAAUUUGUCAAAAGAUAUAAACCAGAUUUUUAAAGUUCAGUAAAUGUCAAUCAGGAUAAACCCAAAGAAACCCAUAGCAAGGCAUAUCAUAAUCAAACUGCUGAAAACUAAGAAAAUACAAAACAAUUUUGAAAGCAGCCAAAGGGAAAUGAAAGAGAAACUACCAAAUGAAUGAUUGUAGAUUUCGCAUCAGGAACCAUAGGGGCCAGAAAAAAUGUCAUAACAUUCGGUAAGUAACAAAAGAAAAAGACAUAUCGACCCAGAAUGCUAUGUGGAGCAAAAGUAUCUUCCAGACAUAAAGGCAAAUAAAUGCAUUCUCAGUGGAAGGUAAGUAAAUACAUUCUCAUUCUUAGGAAGACUGCUGGAAAAGAAUUAGCAAAGAUUUGAGAUAAGAAAAAUGAUACCAGAAGGAAACUUAGAACAUCAUCAGUGAAGGAACAAAAGCAGAAAUAGAACAUGUCUGGGUAGACAUAACAGACUAUUAUUCUUCCCUUGAGUUCCUUAAGGAGACUACGGAAAAGAAGAGUGACUAAGAUCUCUGAAGAAGGGAAAAGCUAGAUGACUGGGCCACAAGAGGAAAAAAAGCAGCAAGACAGGAUGUAUUCUGCAGCAGGAAGUGUGAUGGGCACUGACGCUGCAGAAAGACUCCUGUUGUCCACCUCGGGAGCUGACACGAUAAAUGCGGAGAAUGAGUAGCCACUGCACCUUGCCCUGGGCCAUCAGUGAGAAGAUCUGCUCUUAGUAGAGCCCUGCUUUCCCGCUGAAGGCCCUGAAAUCCCCUGUGUUCCAGGCCACCCACUAAGGAUCAAUAAAGCUCCCCUGAUGUGGGGGAAUUAGCUCAAGUGGUAGAGCGCUUGCUUAGCAUGCAAGAGGUAGUGGGAUCGAUGCCCACAUUCUCCAAACUUUAUUAUUUAGACCCUGGGUCUCCAAACACUCAGGUCUCCAAACCCAAGUCAGAGAACAGGAUGCUGCUUUGGUUCAAGAUGUAGGAGCAGCAACAAUACAGGGCUGGUGACGGCUCCCUCCUGGCAUUCAGUAUAGUGUAGAUCUACCGUGUAAUUAAUUUUCUGCUUCUUUGAGGAGCUGUGAAACCAAGGGACAUAAACAAUUGCUCUUUUCUCCCUGUUUCUGCCUGUAGCUUGAAUGUGAGGCAACUGUGAAAAGUGCAGGGCAGAGCCACCUGGGUAAAUACAGCCCUGGCUUUCUGGUGAGAGGACUGAAACCAGGAUGUGUCAAGUAACUAGAAUGUGCCUGGACAGAUACUGUAGAAAGCAAACCCAUAAAGUUGUUCAUGAGCUUGUGGACGCACCUGCCAGCUGUGAAUAAGUGGGUCUAAUCCCAAACAACUUACCUAAAAAGAGCCUGAGGACUGAACUAAACAAUGGUCCACUUUCCAGUCCUCACUGACCACUGGUUGCACACACUCCAGAGAUCUCUCAUCCGCAGUGUCAAGGCUUUCAAAUAGAGUUAUCUGUGAAACAACAACACAUGGAAGUCUGGUUGGUACUUGGAGCUUAAAUACAAGGCAAUUGUGUGCCUGCAAAAACAAAAAGAGCAAUAUUAUCCUUAAGAUUUCAACAAGACACAGUGUCUCAUCACAUAAUCCAAAGAAGUCCAGGUUACAAGCCCCAAAAUAUUCAGCAUUAUGAAAAACCAGGGAGAUCUUAAUUCACAUGGCAAAGAGAAUCCUUGCAUAACAAUAUUGAGAGGACACAUAUGUCAAAAUCAUCUGACACAUACAUUAAAGCAGUUAUUAUAACAAUGCUCCUAGAAUUACGGGAUAGCAUUCAUGAAGUGAAUGGAAAGUUGGAAAGUCUCACCAAAUAUUUGGAAUAUGUAAACACCAAUUUAAACUUAAGAAUUAAAAAAAGUAUUAACCAAAACUAUUAGGGGAAAUAAAAAGCUUAAUUGGAUGAUCUCAAUAGCAGUAUGCAGAAGACUAAGGAAAAAGUCAAUGAACUUGAAAACGGAACAAGAAUACCUACAGAAUCUGACCUAUAGAAAGAAAGGAGGAUUUUAUUGUCCCUGAACAGAGGCUCAGGGACAAAUAAAAAAUAACAAAUCUAACAUUCACAUUAUUGUAAUCUGGAAACAUUCACAUUAUUGUAAGAGGACAAAGAGGUCUUUGUGGGAUAAAACUGUGAAGAAUUAAUGGCUGAAAAUGUAUCAAAUUUCUCAAAAGAUAUAAACCAGAUUUUUAAAGUUCAGUAAAUGUCAAGCAGGAUAAACCAAAAGAAACCCAUUGCAAGACAUAUCAUAAUCAAACUGCGGAAAAUUAAGAAAACACAAAACAAUUUUGAAAGCAGCCAAAGGGAAAUGAAAGAUAAAAUACCAAAUGAAUGAUUGUAGAUUUCUCAUCGGGAACCCAGGAGCCAGAAAAAAAUGUCAUAACAUUCAGUAAAUACCAAAGGAAAAAUACAUUAUCAACCCAGAAUGGUAUGUGGAGCAAAAGUAUCUUCCAGACAUAAAGGCAAAUAAAUGCAUUCUCAUUGGAAGGUAAAUAAAUACAUUCUCAGUCCUAGCAAAACUGCUGGAAAAGAAUUAGCAAAGGUUUGAGAUAAGAAAAGUGAUACCAGAAGGAAACUUAGAACAUCAUCAAUGAAGGAACAAAAGCAGAAAUAGAAAAUGUCUGGGUAGACAUAACAGACUAUUAUUCUUCUCUUGAGUUCCUUAAGGUAUGUUUGAUGGUUGAAAGCAAAAAUUGUAACUUUAUCUGAUGCAGUUGUCAUUGUAUCUAGAUGUACUACAUACAUAAGAUAAAAGGGUAAAUGUAAUGGGACUAACUCUUGAUGAAGUUUCUAUAUUCAACUUGAAUGGUAAAAUAUUGAUUCUUAGUAUACUGUGAAAAGUUAUAUAUGUAUAUGGUAAUCCCUAGACCACUUAACAACCAGAUUGAAAUAAACCAAAACAAGAUAGACAGAGGAACAUAGAAGAAUUAAAACAAAGGGAAAAAAGGUUAAUAAAUUAUUAAAUAGUAGAUCUAUCUAAAAACUUAUCUAUAAUAACAUUAUAUGUAAAUUAUCUAAAUGCAUUAAGUAAAAACUAGAGAUCAUCAGAAUGUGUUAAAAAUAAAUAUGCUGACUAAAGAAAGCCACCUGCAAUACACUUAUAAAUAAGAAUAAAAGUUAUAGAGCAGAUUGAAAGAAAAGAGUGGGAAAAGAUACCUCAUGCAAGCAUUAAUCAAAGACAGCUGUGGUGUAUAUAUAUAAAAUCAGACAAAGUAGAUUUGAAAGCAGAGAAACUUUUCAGGAAUAAUGAGGCCUCCUAAAUAAUUAUGAUUGUCAAUUUUUCAGGAGAAUAUUGUCCCAAAUGUAUAUGAGGACACAGAGCUUCAAAACUCAUAAACAAAAUUGGAUACGCCAAGUAAAAAUAGAAAAAUCCAGUUAUAGUUGCAGUCAUUAACACUCCUCUCUGAGUAAUUGGAAGAUUUAGUGGAACACAAAUCAACAGACAUACUGGAGAAUUGAACCAUGCCAUCCAGUAAUGGACCUAUCAAUUUCAUAAUGCAAAAUAAAAAUUCAGGUAGAAAGCAAAGACAAAAAUUAAAAGAAAAGCAAGAUCAUGUUAUAAUGAGAAAAUUAAGAGUAGUCCAGUGUAUAGAAGGGUGCUAUUAUUGAAAGAGUUUGAAAUAGUGACUUAGUUAUUUUGAAACAUUUUUGAAGACGUUAUUUAGCUGGAAAUGACAGAAAGACUGAAAAUGGUGAAUGUGGAGGUGGAUCUUCCCUUGUCCAUAUUUAUCUUGUCUUCGUUUGAGGUCUGGGGUGUCUAUACUUCCUCUGAAUUACCUGAUCUUACUACAGUGUCUGGCACAGAGCAUCUCCCCAGUGAAUAUGUACUAAAUGAGUAGAAAGUAAUUGAUAGAUUCAAAAGAGUUGUGCAAGAAUAAUGUUCAUUAUUUGACUAAUCACUGAAUGUGGUGUUUCAAGGAAGACAAUGAAUCAAAGUUGACUUGAAAGGUAAGCCCAGGGCCAGACGUGGUGGCUCAUUUCUGUAAUCCCAGCACUUUGGGAGGCCGAGAUCAGUGGAUCCCUUGACACCAGG
RNAcentral lists this transfer RNA (7753 nucleotides) under Homo sapiens (human). RNAcentral describes it as "HSALNT0333361". The stretch from base 4540 to 4612 matches the Rfam family "tRNA". The record is from RNAcentral. Lineage: Eukaryota; Metazoa; Chordata; Mammalia; Primates; Hominidae.